GAUAGUUCAAUAUCUGCCAGGGAAAGACAAGUAUAAAAAUAAAUUGUCUUUUGCAACCCAGAACUCAUUGUUUAGCAUGAGUCUUGAUACAUACAAGAAGGAACAUG
RNAcentral lists this small nucleolar RNA (107 nucleotides) under Nannospalax galili (Upper Galilee mountains blind mole rat). RNAcentral describes it as "Small nucleolar RNA SNORA40 (ENSNGAG00000007186.1)". It matches the Rfam family "Small nucleolar RNA SNORA40". From Rfam's summary of the family: The snoRNA ACA 40 belongs to the H/ACA family of snoRNAs and guides the pseudouridylation of 28S rRNA subunit at position U4565. NB This family has a high threshold value to exclude a large number of closely related sequences that do not appear to have conserved H and ACA boxes, and may be pseudogenes. The record is from Rfam by way of RNAcentral. Lineage: Eukaryota; Metazoa; Chordata; Mammalia; Rodentia; Spalacidae.